This 600-nucleotide ribosomal RNA is filed under the name uncultured bacterium. RNAcentral's name for it is "bacterial SSU rRNA". It matches the Rfam family "Bacterial small subunit ribosomal RNA", at positions 56 to 648 of the family's 1533-position model. The record is from RNAcentral.
UGCAGUCGGGCGGUAACAGGGGAAGCUUGCUUCCUGCUGACGAGCGGCGGACGGGUGAGUAAUGCAUAGGAAUCUGCCUGGUAGUGGGGGAUAGCCCAGAGAAAUUUGGAUUAAUACCGCAUACGCCCUACGGGGGAAAGCCGGGGACCUUCGGGCCUGGCGCUAUCAGAUGAGCCUAUGUCGGAUUAGCUAGUUGGUGAGGUAACGGCUCACCAAGGCGACGAUCCGUAGCUGGUCUGAGAGGAUGAUCAGCCACACUGGGACUGAGACACGGCCCAGACUCCUACGGGAGGCAGCAGUGGGGAAUAUUGGACAAUGGGCGCAAGCCUGAUCCAGCCAUGCCGCGUGUGUGAAGAAGGCCUUCGGGUUGUAAAGCACUUUCAGCGAGGAGGAAAGGGGUGAUGCUAAUAUCAUCGCUCUGUGACGUUACUCGCAGAANAAGCNCCGGCUAACUCCGUGCCAGCAGCCGCGGUAAUACGGAGGGUGCGAGCGUUAAUCGGAAUUACUGGGCGUAAAGCGUGCGUANGCGGCCUUUUAAGUUGGNUGUGAAAGCCCCGGGCUUAACCUGGGNACGGCAUCCAAAACUGAGAGGCUCGAGUG